Molecule: long non-coding RNA, 272 nt
Organism: Podarcis raffonei (Aeolian wall lizard)
Lineage: Eukaryota; Metazoa; Chordata; Lepidosauria; Squamata; Lacertidae
Exons: 3
Source: RefSeq, a predicted model, not a curated record
AUAGAAUCUGGACCUUCAUGUUGAUGACAACACAUGAUACCAGCAGUGGAAUACGUUGUGUGAAGUGAGGAUGGAUAAUCUAAAAACAUGGCAGCUCUCCCUUCUCCUGUUCCCAUUGCUAUGAUGACUCAGACUACAUUACUGAGAUCAGGGUCACCAUGACCUGGUAGGCUUCUGAUGAGCAAGACCCAUCUUGGAAGUCUGCAAUAGCCUUUCAGCAUGACCAGGGACAACACCUAUGCCCAGCUGUGCCUCAUGCAGAUGCUGUAGGU